CAAGAAAAACCACCAAGAGAGAGAGAGGGCGGGAAGGAUCUAUGAACCAUAGAGAAAGAGACCAUCUACAUUGGCUGGAUUUACCAUGUACGAGCUGGACUGUUUUGGACUUACCUGUUGGCGUUUAGACCUGGACCUACCGAGAACCAGAUUUGUGUACCGAACCCUGCUAUCUUUGACCUUACCUGCGGCCUGGGUGGACCAGGACAGAGAAACAAACACACAGGUUAUAUCAGCUGUUUUGGUGAACCCUUCCCGCAUCUGAACUGGCUGACACAGAGGGCAUAACCUGAUCAUAGGUAUGUUUUGAUGUGACAGAGGAAGCCAGUCCCGUCAUCGACACCUUACCCGCUCUUAAGAUCACGUUUGGGCCAACUGGGGGCCCAAGGCUGGUUUGGAGACACCGCAAUUGUGAUGAACUGAGAGAAUAUUAGGGUAGCACUGUAAUUCAUGAAUCACAUGCUGUCUGCCACUGUUCUUACCUCUUUCCCCUCUGUCUUCUACACCUCUCUCCCUACCUCGUCUUUCUUCCUCAUUUUAUAAUGCAC
RNAcentral lists this long non-coding RNA (548 nucleotides) under Salmo salar (Atlantic salmon). RNAcentral describes it as "lncRNA (ENSSSAG00000105555.1)". Lineage: Eukaryota; Metazoa; Chordata; Actinopteri; Salmoniformes; Salmonidae. The record is from RNAcentral.